This 722-nucleotide ribosomal RNA is filed under the name Acidovorax delafieldii. RNAcentral's name for it is "bacterial SSU rRNA". It matches the Rfam family "Bacterial small subunit ribosomal RNA", at positions 45 to 766 of the family's 1533-position model. Lineage: Bacteria; Pseudomonadati; Pseudomonadota; Betaproteobacteria; Burkholderiales; Comamonadaceae. The record is from RNAcentral.
UGCCUUACACAUGCAAGUCGAACGGUAACAGGUCUUCGGAUGCUGACGAGUGGCGAACGGGUGAGUAAUACAUCGGAACGUGCCCGAGAGUGGGGGAUAACGAAGCGAAAGCUUUGCUAAUACCGCAUACGAUCUCAGGAUGAAAGCAGGGGACCGCAAGGCCUUGCGCUCACGGAGCGGCCGAUGGCAGAUUAGGUAGUUGGUGGGAUAAAAGCUUACCAAGCCGACGAUCUGUAGCUGGUCUGAGAGGACGACCAGCCACACUGGGACUGAGACACGGCCCAGACUCCUACGGGAGGCAGCAGUGGGGAAUUUUGGACAAUGGGCGCAAGCCUGAUCCAGCCAUGCCGCGUGCAGGAUGAAGGCCUUCGGGUUGUAAACUGCUUUUGUACGGAACGAAAAGACUCUGGUUAAUACCUGGGGUCCAUGACGGUACCGUAAGAAUAAGCACCGGCUAACUACGUGCCAGCAGCCGCGGUAAUACGUAGGGUGCGAGCGUUAAUCGGAAUUACUGGGCGUAAAGCGUGCGCAGGCGGUUAUGUAAGACAGAUGUGAAAUCCCCGGGCUCAACCUGGGAACUGCAUUUGUGACUGCAUAGCUAGAGUACGGCAGAGGGGGAUGGAAUUCCGCGUGUAGCAGUGAAAUGCGUAGAUAUGCGGAGGAACACCGAUGGCGAANGCAAUNCCCUGGGCCUGUACUGACGCUAUGCCCAAAGCGUGGGA